RNAcentral lists this long non-coding RNA (2616 nucleotides) under Homo sapiens (human). RNAcentral's name for it is "HSALNT0001017". Lineage: Eukaryota; Metazoa; Chordata; Mammalia; Primates; Hominidae. The record is from RNAcentral.
AUGGAUUUCAAGCAGCCCUCCCGCUGAGGACAAAUGACUCUGUGUCUUCCCAAUCUGUGCUCAUGUUGGCCAGAAUCAGAUAUCAUAUUUUGCCACCAGUAGACCUUAAUUUAUUGAGACGGAGUAUCUUAAUUAUUUCUCACAACAACCUUAUAAGGAAGGCAUGCCCAGCCCUGCUGCAGAUCCAUCACUGAGAUUUAUUUCCAAGAAGCAGCGACUCGUCAAGCAAGCCUUGAAUCAGCCUGGGUGGGAGUCGGCUUUCUAUCAACAAGUUUGAUGACACAGUUAAGCCUGGAAGGGGAAUGGUGCAUCUUCUUCCAAUCUGGGGAAGAGAUGCCUGGCAGAGGCCCCACAACUGCAGGUAAGUGGUGGAAAACUUCCAAACUCCUCCUCUCUCGGGGCUAAGAUCUCCUGAGCCCACAGGCGUUUUUGAAGCUGGAGCCCUGGUGUGGCUUUCUGCAAGACUGUGUUGGAAGGCAGUGCCCCUGUGCAUGGGGACAGAGGUGGGGAAGAAGACAAGGAACCUGGAGGAAAAAAGAGGAAGACCAACAGAGGGGCUUCAUCUGCAACUUCUGCCCCCAUGGUAGCUGCCGCUCCUCAGACUCAGCUUCCUGGCUGGUGCAUGGCUUUGCUUCUGUACGGAAGCAGCAUCCACAGCCAGCCUCCUCCCAUCCCAGAGACUCUUCCUGGCUGAGUUUAGUGGAGGCCCCAAACUGCAAUGGUGCUGCCAAACAUGGCCACAUCACAAAGCGGGUGACAGCUGACACUGAGUGGGACAUGCAGGGGAAGCCCUGAGGACCUGUAUUCAGCCCUUUGCUGAUGGGAACUCCAAAGCCUUCUCUGGGGAGAGGUCAUUGAUUCCAACAUGAAUGGGGUGUCUCCCAUGAGCCAGGCAUUGUGUGUACCAGGAAUUCAUUUGUGAGAAGAGCAGACAAAGGUCCCUGCCUCUUGGGACCCACAUUCCACAGGGGGAGAGGAUGGUAAUUAAUGAUGAGCAUGAUGAGAAGGCAGAUGGCCUGGUGUGUGAUGAUGCAGUAAGGGCUGGGGUAAAAGAGUUAGGGAGGGCUGGUGUGUGUGCAUGUGUGUGUGGGUGAGGACAAGGAUGCAAGUUUCUGAGAAGGUGAUGAUUCCAGGAAGACACAAAGGAAGUGAGAAAACUGGCCCUGUAGUUGUUUGAGCAAGGCUGCUCCAGGCUGAGAGCAUCACAUGCAAGUGCCCCCAGCUGGGAGUAGGCCUGGCAAAGUCAAGGGAGGACGAGGAGUCAGUGGGACUGCCACAGGUGGAGCAGAGGAGAGUGAGGACAAAAAAGCUCUUGGGGAGGGGGUCACACAAGGAGAGCUUGGGAGCCACUGCAGGUCCUGGCUUUUCCCCUGCAUAAUGCAAUGGGGAACCAUUAUCAGGCUUGAGUCAGAGAGCCCUGAAGAGCUGGCACUGGGGACCCCGAGCACUGUGCAUGAAUAGUUGCAGGAAAGACAGAAACAUGGAGCCCAGUCAACAUAUGAGAGUCCAGGUGGCCUGGGCCAGGUGGCAGCCAUGGAUAGGAGAGGUGUGGGGGAGAUUCCAGACGUGGUCUGAGGCUCGGGUUCCUAGGAAGUGAGAUUGUGAGGCACAGAGAGGGGUCAAGGAUGACUCCAUGUAGGGAAAAGAAAGAGAGAUCAGACUGUUACUGUGUCUAUGUAGAAAGGGAAGACAUAAGAAAUUCCAUUUUGACCUGUACCUUGAACAAUUGCUUUGCUGAGAUGCUGUUAAUUUGUAACUUUGCCCCAGCCACUUUGCCCCAACUUUGAGCUCACAAAAACAUGUGUUGUAUGGAAUCAAGGUUUAAGGGAUCUAGGGCUGUGCAGGACUUGCCUUGUUAACAAAAUGUUUACAAGCAGUAUGCUUGGUAAAAGUCAUCGCCAUUCUCUAGUUUCAAUAAACCAGGGGCACAAUGCACUGCAGAAAGCCGCAGGGACCUCUGCCCUGGAAAGCCAGGUAUUGUCCAAGGUUUCUCCCCAUGUGAUAGUCUGAAAUAUGGCCUCAUGGGAUGAGAAAGACCUGACCGUACCCCAGCCCGACACCUGUAAAGGGUCUGUGCUGAGGUGGAUUAGUAAUAGAGGAAAGCCUCUUGCAGCUGAGAUAGAGGAAGGCCACUGUCUCCUGCCUGCCCCUGGGAACUGAAUGUCUCAGUAUGAAACUCGAUUGUACAUUUGUUCAUUUCUGAGACAGGAGAAAAACUGCCCUAUGGCGGGAGGUGAGACGUGUUGGCAGCAAUGCUGCUUUGUUAUUCUUUACUCCACUGAGAUGUUUGGGCGGAGAGAAACAUAAAUCUGGCCUACGUGCACAUCCAGGCAUAGUACCUCCCCUUGAACUUAAUUAUGACACAGAUUCUUUUGCUCACAUGUUUUCUUGCUGACCUUCUCCCUAUUAUCACCCUGCUCUCCUACCUCAUUCUUCUUGCUGAGAUAGUGAAAAUAAUAAUCAAUAAAAACUGAGGGAACUCAGAGACCAGUGCCAGUGCAGGUCCUUGGUAUGCUGAGCACUGGUCCCCUGGGCCCACUUUUCUUUUUCUAUACUUUGUCUCUGUGUCUUAUUUCUUUUCUCAGUCUCUCGUCCCAUGUGACGAGAUAUACCCAC